This 527-nucleotide long non-coding RNA is filed under the name Homo sapiens (human). RNAcentral's name for it is "HSALNT0301802". Lineage: Eukaryota; Metazoa; Chordata; Mammalia; Primates; Hominidae. The record is from RNAcentral.
GUUGUUUGAGCAAGACCUUGUGUAUCAAACAUUGAUCUAGCCAAGUGGCUUAGUGGAGAAUUUGCUCAAAUUGGUUUUUUAGUAUCUUGUUGGCAGGAGGGGAAAUGACUGCUUGAACGUUUCAGCCUUAAUGCUGACAUGUGGUGACUUGAAGCCAGGUGAAUGAAGGUUCCUCCAGCUAGAGAGUUCAAAGUUAGAGAAACCUGAGAGGGGUGUACUGGUAUGACCACCCGAGAUCCCAUCGCUGAGAAAGAUAAUGGCCCUGGAGACAAAGACUGAUGAAGAAAGACAGUAUCCAGCUGUGAUGCAGAUGAAACAUGCGGCAUGGUUGCACUCACUAUGCAGCCAAGGCUGGAAGCCACUCUGGAUCCAGCCACUCUGGCACAGCGUUCUUGCUCUAGGAAGAACAACUGAACAUGGCCACACAGGCCUCACAGCUGGCAUAUGGAGGCUGUUAAUAAGCUGAGCUUGAGGCUUCAAAGGACUCUUGUAGCCUGUGCUGGAUCUAGCAGUGACCAGUAUGCCAG